RNAcentral lists this unclassified non-coding RNA (231 nucleotides) under Hevea brasiliensis (rubber tree). The record is from RNAcentral. Lineage: Eukaryota; Viridiplantae; Streptophyta; Magnoliopsida; Malpighiales; Euphorbiaceae.
AGAGCACUAGAAAUUAUUAUUUUCCAAUGUAUUAAAAAAAAAAAAGAGGACUAUAAAUUAUGGCUUAUUUGUUGAAAUUUUUUAUUGAUUAAUCCACCAAUUUCUGAUUUUUAGCAAUCAGGCAUCGAGGUUAACUCAGUGGUCUUACUACUCAGUGCUCCCUGUCUCAUAGUUCAAAGUUGAAUUUUAUCAUGUACCUUAACUACGAUGUGAUGAAGAUAGCUGUACUUU